RNAcentral lists this ribosomal RNA (449 nucleotides) under uncultured bacterium. Its description in RNAcentral is "bacterial SSU rRNA". It matches the Rfam family "Bacterial small subunit ribosomal RNA", at positions 354 to 796 of the family's 1533-position model. The record is from RNAcentral.
GUGGGGAAUUGUUCGCAAUGGGCGCAAGCCUGACGACGCAACGCCGCGUGGAGGAUGAAGGUCUUCGGAUUGUAAACUCCUGUUGCCCGGGACGAAUGGCUCUGACCUAACACGUCAGAGUUUGACGGUACCGGGUGAGGAAGCCCCGGCUAACUCUGUGCCAGCAGCCGCGGUAAUACAGAGGGGGCAAGCGUUGUUCGGAAUUACUGGGCGUAAAGGGCGCGUAGGCGGCCUGCUAAGUCGAACGUGAAAUCCCCGGGCUCAACCCGGGAACUGCGUUCGAUACUGGUUGGCUUGAAUCCGGGAGAGGGAUGCGGAAUUCCAGGUGUAGCGGUGAAAUGCGUAGAUAUCUGGAGGAACACCGGUGGCGAAGGCGGCAUCCUGGACCGGCAUUGACGCUGAGGCGCGAAAGCCAGGGGAGCAAACGGGAUUAGAAACCCCAGUAGUCC